Molecule: ribosomal RNA, 1058 nt
Filed under: Escherichia coli
Lineage: Bacteria; Pseudomonadati; Pseudomonadota; Gammaproteobacteria; Enterobacterales; Enterobacteriaceae
Description: partial 23S ribosomal RNA
Rfam family: Bacterial large subunit ribosomal RNA
Source: RNAcentral
CGGUGCCGGAAGGUUAAGAGGAUCCGUCAGCUUCUGCGAAGCGGUGAAUUCAAGCCCCGGUAAACGGCGGUGGUAACUAUAACCAUCCUAAGGUAGCGAAAUUCCUUGUCGGGUAAGUUCCGACCUGCACGAAUGGCGUAACGACUUCCCCACUGUCUCGACCAGGAGCUCGGCGAAAUUGCAGUACGAGUAAAGAUGCUCGUUAAGCGCAGAAGGACGAAAAGACCCCGGGACCUUUACUAUACCUUGGUAUUGGCAUUAGGCGCGGAUUGUGUAGCAUAGGCGGGAGGCUUCGAGGCGGGUGCGCCAGCAUCCGCGGAGCCGCAAGGUGAAAUACCGCUCUGUUCUCGUUUGAUGUCUAACCUCGAACAGUCAUCCUGUUCAGGGACAGUGCCUGGCGGGUAGUUCAACUGGGGCGGUUGCCUCCCAAAGAGUAACGGAGGCGCUCAAAGGUCCGCUCGGCCCGGUUGGCAAUCGGGUGUCGAGUGUAAUCGCACAAGCGGGCUUGACUGCGAGAUCGACGGAUCGAGCAGGGACGAAAGUCGGAGAUAGUGAUCCGGUGCCGGCGCACGGGCGCGGCAUCGCUCAACGGAUAAAAGGUACCCCGGGGAUAACAGGCUGAUCAUUCCCAAGAGUCCAUAUCGACGGGAUGGUUUGGCACCUCGAUGUCGGCUCGUCGCAUCCUGGGGCUGGAGCAGGUCCCAAGGGUUCGGCUGUUCGCCGAUCAAAGCGGCACGCGAGCUGGGUUCAGAACGUCGUGAGACAGUUUGGUCUCUAUCCUCUGCGCUCGUUGGAAUCUUGAGGAGGCCUGCCCAUAGUACGAGAGGACCUGGGUGGACGAACCUCUGGUAUGCCGGUCGUCACGCCAGUGGCGCGGCCGGUUGGCUACGUUCGGAAGGGAUAACCGCUGAAAGCAUCUAAGCGGGAAGCCUUCUCCAAGAUAAGGAUUCCAUGCGGCCCCGAGCCGCUGAAGACCCCAUGCAGAACACGUGGUCGAUAGGCCGGACGUGGAAGCCCCGCGAGGGGUGGAGCCGACCGGUACUAAUGGUCGAGAGGCA